RNAcentral lists this ribosomal RNA (799 nucleotides) under uncultured Glomeromycotina. RNAcentral describes it as "SSU rRNA". It matches the Rfam family "Eukaryotic small subunit ribosomal RNA", at positions 314 to 1114 of the family's 1831-position model. Lineage: Eukaryota; Fungi; Glomeromycota. The record is from RNAcentral.
AUCAACUUUCGAUGGUAGGAUAGAGGCCUACCAUGGUGGUAACGGGUAACGGGGUGUUAGGGCACGACACCGGAGAGGGAGCCUGAGAAACGGCUACCACAUCCAAGGAUGGCAGCAGGCGCGCAAAUUACCCAAUCCCGACACGGGGAGGUAGUGACAAUAAAUAACAAUACGGGGCUCUUUAGGGUCUCGUAAUUGGAAUGAGUACAAUUUAAAUCUCUUAACGAGGAACAAUUGGAGGGCAAGUCUGGUGCCAGCAGCCGCGGUAAUUCCAGCUCCAAUAGCGUAUAUUAAAGUUGUUGCAGUUAAAAAGCUCGUAGUUGAAUUUCGGGAUCAGCAAGUUGGUCGUGCCUCUGGUAUGCACUGGUUUCGCUGAUUCCUCCUUUCUGAAGAACUGUAAUGUCAUUAAUUUGGUGUUGCAGGGAAACAGGACUGUUACUUUGAAAAAAUUAGAGUGUUUAAAGCAAGCUAAGGCUUGAAUACAUUAGCAUGGAAUAAUGAAAUAGGACGUUUGAUCCUAUUUUGUUGGUUUCUAGGAUUGACGUAAUGAUUAAUAGGGAUAGUUGGGGGCAUUAGUAUUCAAUUGUCAGAGGUGAAAUUCUUGGAUUUAUUGAAGACUAACUACUGCGAAAGCAUUUGCCAAGGAUGUUUUCAUUAAUCAAGAACGAAAGUUAGGGGAUCGAAGACGAUCAGAUACCGUCGUAGUCUUAACCAUAAACUAUGCCGACUAGGGAUCGGAUGAUGUUAAUUUUUUAAUGACUCAUUCGGCGCCUUACGGGAAACCAAAGUGUUUGGGUUC